GACGAACGCUGGCGGCGUGCCUAACACAUGCAAGUCGAACGGGACUUAGCGGAAAGCGGCUUCGGUCAAUGGAAGUUAAGUUUAGUGGCGAACGGGUGAGUAACGCGUGAGAAACCUGCCUUUCAGUGGGGGACAACAGUUGGAAACGACUGCUAAUACCGCAUAAUGUAUUCGGGGGGCAUCCCCUGAAUACCAAAGCUUUAUGUGCUGAAAGAUGGUCUCGCGUCUGAUUAGCUAGAUGGCGGGGUAACGGCCCACCAUGGCGACGAUCAGUAGCCGGUCUGAGAGGAUGAACGGCCACAUUGGGACUGAGAUACGGCCCAGACUCCUACGGGAGGCAGCAGUGGGGAAUAUUGGGCAAUGGGGGAAACCCUGACCCAGCAACGCCGCGUGAAGGAAGAAGGCCUUCGGGUUGUAAACUCUUUUAGCAGGGACGAAGAACGU
RNAcentral lists this ribosomal RNA (444 nucleotides) under uncultured bacterium. Its description in RNAcentral is "bacterial SSU rRNA". It matches the Rfam family "Bacterial small subunit ribosomal RNA", at positions 28 to 455 of the family's 1533-position model. The record is from RNAcentral.